GCGGUCGUGCAAUGUGGUGUUCGGGAGGGCUCUGUCCAUGUCCGGCUUUGGUCCAAGUCUCCUGGAAAGGAGUUCCGUGGAGGGUGACAGGCCCGUGCGACCAAUAGCCGUGUUCGCGGACGAGUCCUCCUUCGAGUCGGGUUGUUCGCUAAUGCAGCCCUAAGCAGGUGGUAAGCUCCAUCUAAAGCUAAAUAUAACCACGAGUCCGAUAGUCAACAAGUACAGUGAUGGAAAGUUGAAAAGUACUCUGAAGAGAGAGUCAAAUAGCCCGUGAAGCUGCCAGUAUGGGAUUAAGCGCACGUGCGGCGCGUGUCGUCGGACAAAUAGGCGACUGUUGUGCGUACGGCCGGUGGACGUGUGCGUCUUUACAGGCGUGCCGUCUGCUGGUAGUGGUGCGUGCCGCAGAACGCUUCCCUUUGUUCGGCAUUGACAGGUCGGGGCUUCGUUGUCCGGUCUUAUUGCCGACAGUGAUCCACAGAGCCGUGCCGGGCGGUUGUCGACUUCGGUCGAUGGCCGUGCUCCGCUGAACGUGGUCCUUCGUGGACGCAGCGGCCGGCUUGGUCUGCGGUGCAAUGCUGUCGUUUUGCGAACGACUGGGCGACGGCCAACGCAUUCGAGCACUCGUUGUUCGGCUCGACCUUUGCGCUGUCACGUGCGGCCCGUCUUGAAACACGGACCAAGGAGUCUAACAUGUGAGCGAGCGAUUGAGAUUGUCGAAUCUCAAACGCGCAAUGAAAGUGAAGUGUCGUCUGACGGCACGAGCGGUGAUCUGUUGUCCACUUUGUUGGCGGCAGCGCAACCGCGGGCCGCGCCAUGGGCUGGCUUGCUUUUCGGAGCACUGCUCAGGCGCGGACCUAGAGCCCAC
Molecule: ribosomal RNA, 865 nt
Filed under: Dianajonesia tridens
Lineage: Eukaryota; Metazoa; Arthropoda; Thecostraca; Poecilasmatidae
Description: partial large subunit ribosomal RNA
Rfam family: Eukaryotic large subunit ribosomal RNA
Source: RNAcentral